RNAcentral lists this ribosomal RNA (441 nucleotides) under uncultured Streptomycetaceae bacterium. RNAcentral describes it as "bacterial SSU rRNA". It matches the Rfam family "Bacterial small subunit ribosomal RNA", at positions 8 to 450 of the family's 1533-position model. Lineage: Bacteria; Bacillati; Actinomycetota; Actinomycetes; Kitasatosporales; Streptomycetaceae. The record is from RNAcentral.
AGAGUUUGAUCCUGGCUCAGGACGAACGAACGCUGGCGGCGUGCUUAACACAUGCAAGUCGAACGAUGAAGCCCUUCGGGGUGGAUUAGUGGCGAACGGGUGAGUAACACGUGGGCAAUCUGCCCUUCACUCUGGGACAAGCCCUGGAAACGAGGUCUAAUACCGGAUAUGACCGUGGAAGGCAUGCUCUGUGGUGGAAAGCUCCGGCGGUUCAGGAUGAUGCGCGGCCUAUCAGCUUGUUGGUGGGGUAACGGCUGUCCCUGCUGAAGACGGGUAGCCGGCCACCGAGGGCGUUCGGCCCCACUAGGACUGAGACGCGGCCCAGACUCAUACAGGAUUCAGCAGUGGGGAAUAUUGCACAAUGGGCGAAAGCCUGAUGCAGCGACGCCGCGUGAGGGAUGACGGCCUUCGGGUUGUAAACCUCUUUCCGCAUAUAAGAAG